UGUGAAAGCCCACGGCUCAACCGUGGAGGGUCAUUGGAAACUGGGAGACUUGAGUGCAGAAGAGGAAAGUGGAAUUCCAUGUGUAGCGGUGAAAUGCGUAGAGAUAUGGAGGAACACCAGUGGCGAAGGCGACUUUCUGGUCUGUAACUGACACUGAGGCGCGAAAGCGUGGGGAGCAAACAGGAUUAGAUACCCUGGUAGUCCACGCCGUAAACGAUGAGUGCUAAGUGUUAGAGGGUUUCCGCCCUUUAGUGCUGAAGUUAACGCAUUAAGCACUCCGCCUGGGGAGUACGGCCGCAAGGCUGAAACUCAAAGGAAUUGACGG
This 325-nucleotide ribosomal RNA is filed under the name uncultured Bacillus sp. Its description in RNAcentral is "bacterial SSU rRNA". It matches the Rfam family "Bacterial small subunit ribosomal RNA", at positions 593 to 916 of the family's 1533-position model. The record is from RNAcentral. Lineage: Bacteria; Bacillati; Bacillota; Bacilli; Caryophanales; Bacillaceae.